This 105-nucleotide microRNA precursor is filed under the name Marmota monax (woodchuck). Lineage: Eukaryota; Metazoa; Chordata; Mammalia; Rodentia; Sciuridae. The record is from RNAcentral.
AUAAGAAUCACCUGGGGAGCCUGUUAAAAUGCAGAUUCUAAUACAUCAGGUCAGAGGUGAGGCCUGAAAGCCUACCUUUCUAACAAGCUCCCAGGUGACAUCUUC